GCCCUAGUAGCUCAGUAUUAGAGCGCCGGCCUUGUAAGCCGGAGGUUGGAGGCUAAAUUCCUCCCUAGCGCU
Molecule: transfer RNA, 72 nt
Filed under: Molva dypterygia (blue ling)
Lineage: Eukaryota; Metazoa; Chordata; Actinopteri; Gadiformes; Lotidae
Description: tRNA-Thr
Rfam family: tRNA
About the family: Transfer RNA (tRNA) molecules are approximately 80 nucleotides in length. Their secondary structure includes four short double-helical elements and three loops (D, anti-codon, and T loops). Further hydrogen bonds mediate the characteristic L-shaped molecular structure. tRNAs have two regions of fundamental functional importance: the anti-codon, which is responsible for specific mRNA codon recognition, and the 3' end, to which the tRNAs corresponding amino acid is attached (by aminoacyl-tRNA synthetases). tRNAs cope with the degeneracy of the genetic code in two manners: having more than one tRNA (with a specific anti-codon) for a particular amino acid; and 'wobble' base-pairing, i.e. permitting non-standard base-pairing at the 3rd anti-codon position.
Source: RNAcentral